UGAGGAAUAUUGCGCAAUGGGGGCAACCCUGACGCAGCAACGCCGCGUGAGUGAGGAAGGUUUUCGGACCGUAAAGCUCUGUCGAGCGGGAAGAAAUGCAUGGUGGCUAAUAUCCAUCAUGCUUGACGGUACCGUUAAAGGAAGCACCGGCUGACUCCGUGCCAGCAGCCGCGGUAAUACGGGGGGUGCGAGCGUUGUUCGGAAUUAUUGGGCGUAAAGAGCGUGUAGGCGGCUGAAUAAGUCAGAUGUGAAAUCCCUGGGCUUAACCCAGGACGUGCAUUUGAAACUAUUCGGCUAGAGUAGGGGAGAGGAAAGUGGAAUUCCUGGUGUAGAGGUGAAAUUCGUAGAUAUCAGGAGGAACACCGGUGGCGAAGGCGACUUUCUGGCCCUAUACUGACGCUGAGACGCGAGAGCGUGGGUAGCAAACAG
This 429-nucleotide ribosomal RNA is filed under the name uncultured bacterium. RNAcentral describes it as "bacterial SSU rRNA". It matches the Rfam family "Bacterial small subunit ribosomal RNA", at positions 355 to 775 of the family's 1533-position model. The record is from RNAcentral.